UGAAACAAGUGUGGAAGAAUGACUGGGCUGAACAUGGAAAUUAGAAUAAAGGAACAAAUGCAUUAAAAGUUCUUAGGGAUGUUAGUCACUAUAUCCAAAUAUAUCCUACCCGCCCCUUAGACUACAUUGCAACCAAAAAAACCUCUUGAUUUUAGACUAAAACAACACGAUUAGUAGAGUAUUACACUAAAGGCAAGCUUAUGGUGUAUCUGUGUGGCAUGUGAAGUUCUUUGCUGAGAGUGAGUUAAUUCUUUCAAUCUAUAAUUCCUUGUUAUUUAAUUUUAUGUGUGUGGAGCUUAUCUCAAAAAAGGGAUGUGAGGGAAUAUGACUCAAGAAGAAAAAGUAAGUUUUCACCUCUCUUUAGAGUACAUAGAGUAACCAUGAGUGUGACAUUGAAUUAGAUUCUUCAUCUAAGGUGUGGUUGUUGCACUGCUUAGAUUGUUCUUUCAUAAUAGCGGGUGUGACAUCAACAGGGUAAUGCAUAAAAUGAUUACGCAUAGAAGUGUGGUUCAACUUGCUUGAGGGUGAGCAAAGAUUUAAGUGUGUGGUGAUGAUAAUAAGUGAAUUAUACUAUAAUUAAGCCCUAAAGAACCAUUUUCGUGUAUAGUGUUUAUGGCC
RNAcentral lists this long non-coding RNA (618 nucleotides) under Nicotiana benthamiana. RNAcentral describes it as "long non-coding RNA (NBEN_LNC008783)". Lineage: Eukaryota; Viridiplantae; Streptophyta; Magnoliopsida; Solanales; Solanaceae. The record is from RNAcentral.